CACCUCGAAGGGACGACAACGGCGACUAGGACGUCUUCCUCCCCCAGCGACGGCGACGUUCUUCGCCACCGCCGUGGUCGGGCUGCGGCGACCAGCAGAGGAACUCCUCCGGUAGAGGGGGAGCCCUCACUUGCUUCCUUGUCCACCACGAAGCACACACAGGCAGGGGAGGAGCCGCGCCGUCCAACCUCCACUGCCGCCCGAAGCCGGCAAAUCAUCUGACGCAGGCAGUUGAAGGGGCCAGGCCAUGGAGAGGCUGCAGGGCCAUGGACAUGCCGGAGAGGAGGACAUUCUUGGCCGAUGUAGAAGCUGCGGGAGAGGAGAGCAGUUUCAGUCAUGCAGCCCUCCUCCCCUCCCCUUAUCUUCUUCUUCUGGAUUUGUUCUGAUCCGUGCGUUUGGUUUGUGCAGGCCAUCACCAAGCUGCUGCCGGUGUGCCACCAAGGUGCCUGAUUUGGGCAGCUCGACAGCGGUAAGCAACCCCAGCCCGCUCCACCGAGCGCACCAAGGUGCCUGAUUUGGCACCUCGACGACGACGAGCAGUCCCACCCUGCUCCACCGAGCCCACCAAGGUGCCUGAUUUGGCAGCUAUGGAGGCCAUCACUAAGGUCCUGCGAGUUUGAAGGAGCAGAAGGUCCAAGGGCCUGCCCACCAAGGCCGCCAAGCCCAACUAAAGAGAGGAAGCUCACCAGCGAGUUGAUUUUGAAUGUCGGCCACUACAACUGAGUGAUAGGAGGAGGUCCAGCAGCUGCAGCAGCCGCAGCUCAGGUUCCUCCCUCUCUUGAGGAGGUCCAGCAGUAGCAACAACUCACUCCGGUGGCCUGGCUUCGCAGGCCCUCCUCCCGCACGUAAAUCAGCGUUGUCCCGUGUCCGACCUCAUAGCCUCUGAGUCCAUGCUCGCCGUCACCAACUACCCAGAGCCCACCCUCCUCUCAAGCAACAAUGCAGGGGUGAUGGCUACACCUUUCUCCCUCAAAGGAUGGCAAGAUUGCAACCAACCAUGUCGGAGCUCGAGGUCUACAAAAUUUGAAGUUCGAAACCAUAUAGCUCUACUCAGCAAAGAGUCGUCUCUUCUGUUUUAUUGUAAUAGAAUGUAAAUAUUGUAAUAUUGUAAUAGUAGGCAUAUCUGGGUU
This is a long non-coding RNA of Aegilops tauschii subsp. strangulata, 1130 nucleotides long. RefSeq lists it as uncharacterized. Lineage: Eukaryota; Viridiplantae; Streptophyta; Magnoliopsida; Poales; Poaceae. The record is from RefSeq and is a predicted model, not a curated record.